UGGUGCUACUUUGCCAAAAUUAGUUGUAAAGAAUUUUGGAACUUUGUGUACAUUAUAUAACAGAGACUGACAUUCACAUCCAUUCUUCGAUGGCUCUUCAUGAUUCAUCUGAAAAAAAGAAACCCCUUCUGGUUGGAGUGCAUCGAAGUUUCAUUCCUGAUGGACUGUUUGAUAUAGUCCAGAUUCAAGUGAGCUUAUCGAGAGAAAUAUAGAACUUCAUGUAAUUGAGGAGUAAGGUCUUGAGUGGUGUGCGAUUAGGAUAUUUUUGAGACAAGUCACAGAUUGAGUUCACGCUGAAUUCUUAAGUACAAGUUUUUAUUAGAGUAGUAGGCACAAAAAACACGGAUGGAGGCAGUUGUGGACUUUUUGGUUGAAUCGAAGACUGUAGCUAAAUAGUCUUAUAAAGAAACCAGCUUGGUCGGGUUGAAUGGACAUAUUCUGCCUUGAAAUCACUUCAUAUGAGGGAUUAGUAAGUUUAUGGAAAAUUUGGAGGACGUAAAGAGCAUUCAGAGAUGAUCAAAAAUGGACGCUACUAAAUAUACUUGUAUAAAAUUAUAUGAAUAUAUUUUUUGAUUUACAUUGGCGUUUGUCAUGAAUUAAUGAAGAAGAAACUAUA
Molecule: long non-coding RNA, 616 nt
Organism: Hermetia illucens (black soldier fly)
Lineage: Eukaryota; Metazoa; Arthropoda; Insecta; Diptera; Stratiomyidae
Exons: 5
Source: RefSeq, a predicted model, not a curated record